UUUCAGUUUCAACUCUGCAGCGUGCAGUGAUCGGUACAGCAGAGACGCAUUAAGAGGGGGCACAGGGGACAAAUUACUAACCCCUCUCCCCCUUCCCCCGCUCACCCCACUGCCAGUUACUUUAAUAAUUGCAGCCACUGCUGCAGUGAACAGAAAUUCCGAAAAGGGGGCGGGGCUAAACGGCACUGUACACACAGUGCCAUGCCAGCCAGCAACAGCGUGGGCAAGAGGAGGGGAGAAGAGCAGCACAGCCUAAACAAAUCUGCUUCUGCACGCUCAAGUCUGGGCCACAUAUUGUGUUACUAAUGUAGGGGGUGGAGCUACAAUCAGAGCUUUCGUAUGUCAACAGCAGCACAGAUGGUUUCAGCUCAGCCAGCUCCUGCCUACCCAAGUCUCACGCACCGUCUUGUGAAGUUGUCGGGACACUCUUUGAAUUAAAUUCAGACAGCGACCAAGUCAUCUCAUUAUUUGAGAAACAUCAUUUUCGCCGACGAGAAUAAAUCAUUUAAAAGAUGAAGCCAGUAUAUGAAUGAGAUUCUGUCCUAUACUUUGAGCAUAACAAAUGUUCUCUGUGAUUGCCACUAGAUCAUGCAAUACACCAAUAAAAAGAGAAUGGAUUGCAGCUGUUCUGGGUGGAAAUAAGAAUUAUGACACUGACUAUAUAAAAAAAAUAGAGAUUAACAGGACAAUUAUAUUACUAAACAAAGAUGAGUUUCCGAAAGCCCGGUCUUC
Long non-coding RNA from Pseudophryne corroboree (corroboree frog), 732 nucleotides. RefSeq lists it as uncharacterized. The record is from RefSeq and is a predicted model, not a curated record. The transcript is spliced from 3 exons. NCBI's taxonomy places the organism in Eukaryota, Metazoa, Chordata, Amphibia, Anura, Myobatrachidae.